Molecule: ribosomal RNA, 481 nt
Filed under: uncultured bacterium
Lineage: Bacteria
Description: partial 16S ribosomal RNA
Rfam family: Bacterial small subunit ribosomal RNA
Source: RNAcentral
UUGAACGCUGGCGGCAUGCCUUACCCAUGCAAGUCGAACGGUAACGGGCCUUCGGGUGCCGACGAGUGGCGAACGGGUGAGUAAUACAUCGGAACGUGCCCGAUCGUGGGGGAUAACGAGGCGAAAGCUUUGCUAAUACCGCAUACGAUCUACGGAUGAAAGCAGGGGACCGCAAGGCCUUGCGCGGACGGAGCGGCCGAUGGCAGAUUAGGUAGUUGGUGGGAUAAAAGCUUACCAAGCCGACGAUCUGUAGCUGGUCUGAGAGGAUGAUCAGCCACACUGGGACUGAGACACGGCCCAGACUCCUACGGGAGGCAGCAGUGGGGAAUUUUGGACAAUGGGCGCAAGCCUGAUCCAGCCAUGCCGCGUGCAGGAUGAAGGCCUUCGGGUUGUAAACUGCUUUUGUACGGAACGAAAAGCCUUCUUUUAAUACAGGAGGGUCAUGACGGUACCGCAAGAAUAAGCACCGGCUAACUACGUG